Molecule: ribosomal RNA, 164 nt
Filed under: Adansonia madagascariensis
Lineage: Eukaryota; Viridiplantae; Streptophyta; Magnoliopsida; Malvales; Malvaceae
Description: 5.8S ribosomal RNA
Rfam family: 5.8S ribosomal RNA
About the family: 5.8S ribosomal RNA (5.8S rRNA) is a component of the large subunit of the eukaryotic ribosome. It is transcribed by RNA polymerase I as part of the 45S precursor that also contains 18S and 28S rRNA.
Source: RNAcentral
GAAAUGACUCUCGGCAACGGAUAUCUCGGCUCUCGCAUNGAUGAAGAACGUAGCGAAAUGCGAUACUUGGUGUGAAUUGCAGAAUCCCGUGAACCAUCGAGUCUUUGAACGCAAGUUGCGCCCGAGGCCUUUAGGCCGAGGGCACGUCUGCCUGGGUGUCACGC